GAGACCUGGAACCCCUACAGAUUGUGAGA
Molecule: non-coding RNA, 29 nt
Filed under: Homo sapiens (human)
Lineage: Eukaryota; Metazoa; Chordata; Mammalia; Primates; Hominidae
Source: RNAcentral